CCAUUGCUUUCCUUACCUCUCUUCCUUUUCCAUUGCUUUCCUUAACUCUCCCCUUCUUUUCCAUUGCUUUCCUUACCUCUCUUCCUUUUCCAUUGCUUUCGUUAACUCUCCCCUUUUAUUUCCAUUGCUUUCCUUACCUCUCUUCCUUUCCCAUUGCUUUCCUUAACUCUCCCCUUCUUUUCCAUUGCUUUCCUUACCUCUCUUCCUUUUCCAUUGCUUUCGUUAACGCUCGCCUUCAUUUCCAUUGCUUUCCUUACCUCUCUUCCUUUUCCAUUACUUUCUUUAACUCUCCCCUUCUUUUCCAUUGCUUUCCUUACUUCUCUUCCUUUUCCAUUGCUUUCGUUAACUCUCCCCUUCUUUUCCAUUGCUUUCCUUACCUCUCUUCCUUUUCCAUUGCUUUCGUUAACUCUCCCCUUCAUUUCCAUUGCUCUCCUUACCUCUUUUCCAUUGCUUUUGUUAACUUUCCCCUUCUUUUCCAUUGCUUUCCUUACCUCUCUUCUUUUUCCAUUGCUUUUGUUAACUCUCCCCUUCAUUUCCAUUGCUUUCCUUACCUCCCCUUCUUUUCCAUUGCUGGAAUGUUUUGGUGCUGUUUAAAGACAGCCAAAGCAUGACAAUGAACACCUUUAUCACCAUGAUGCUAUGCUAUAUUAAGACAGACCUAAAUACUAGACUUGCAUGAUUGUUUUCAAAUGAAUUGCAAUUCAUCCAAAUUUUGGGUGAUUGAUGAUUUAUCUCCUGAACUAUGACCAAACCAUGAAGCAAUGCAGAAAAUCCAUUAUGUUUGUUCUCUGAUUUAGUGUACCAUCCAUGGUGCCAAAACACGAUGAUUGAUGCAAAAAAAAAAGGUUUUUGAUGGUCAAGGGGCAGUUGCUAAAUUUAAUUUUAUUCACAGAUCAAGUAGAAGUGUCGAAUAGAGUGGAAAAAGGAG
This is a non-coding RNA of Pelobates cultripes (western spadefoot toad), 928 nucleotides long. The record is from the annotation of a GenBank genome assembly. NCBI's taxonomy places the organism in Eukaryota, Metazoa, Chordata, Amphibia, Anura, Pelobatidae.